This 585-nucleotide long non-coding RNA is filed under the name Homo sapiens (human). RNAcentral's name for it is "non-protein coding lnc-STAT5B-1:3". Lineage: Eukaryota; Metazoa; Chordata; Mammalia; Primates; Hominidae. The record is from RNAcentral.
CACUCGGGAGUGGGCAAGAGAUAUCGUUACGCAGCUGCUGUGUGCCCGACCGACCCUGUCCGAAACCCUUCCUAUCAGGAAACAGAGCUCAGUGCAGCCCACUAAAUUGCUCAGGGCCCUACAGCUAACAAGCGGCAGAGGCAGGAUCUGCACUCAGGAGCUGCUUGGAGAUGCUGCUGUGGCCACUGCUGCUGCUGCUGCUGCUGCUGCCAACAUUGGCCCUGCUCAGGCAGCAGCGGUCCCAGGAUGCCAGGCUGUCCUGGCUUGCUGGCCUCCAGCACCGAGUGGCAUGGGGGGCCCUGGUCUGGGCAGCCACCUGGCAGCGGCGGAGGCUGGAGCAGAGCACGCUCCAUGUGCACCAGAGCCAGCAGCAGGCCCUGAGGUGGUGUCUACAGGGAGCCCAGCGCCCCCACUGUUCCCUCAGAAGGAGCACAGGGUCUCACCAGUCUUGCCUGAAACUCUUGGGAAACUGGCUUCCUGAGGCGUUUCUGUUGUCAUUGGGGCUAUAGACAUAAGCACCUUCCGGAAUCAUCUCCCUCUGACCAAGGCCAGCCAGACCCAGCAGGAAGACAGUGGAGAGCAGCC